Molecule: ribosomal RNA, 441 nt
Filed under: uncultured Treponema sp.
Lineage: Bacteria; Pseudomonadati; Spirochaetota; Spirochaetia; Treponematales; Treponemataceae
Description: bacterial SSU rRNA
Rfam family: Bacterial small subunit ribosomal RNA
Source: RNAcentral
UGAGGAAUAUUGGUCAAUGGACGGAAGUCUGAACCAGCCAAGUAGCGUGCAGGAUGACGGCCCUAUGGGUUGUAAACUGCUUUUAUGUGGGAAUAAAGUGAGGGACGUGUCCCUUUUUGUAGGUACCACAUGAAUAAGCAACGGCUAAUUACGUGCCAGCAGCCGCGGUAACACGUAAGUUGCGAGCGUUGUUCGGAAUUAUUGGGCGUAAAGGGCAUGUAGGCGGUCUGUCAAGCCAGGCGUGAAAGCCAGGGGCUCAACCCCUGAACUGCGCUUGGAACUGGCGGACUGGAGUCGCUGAGGGGGAACCGGAAUUCCUGGUGUAGGGGUGAAAUCUGUAGAUAUCAGGAAGAACACCGAUGGCGAAGGCAGGUUUCCAGCAGACGACUGACGCUGAGGUGCGAAGGUGCGGGGAGCAAACAGGAUUAGAUACCCUGGAGU